RNAcentral lists this unclassified non-coding RNA (651 nucleotides) under Hevea brasiliensis (rubber tree). The record is from RNAcentral. Lineage: Eukaryota; Viridiplantae; Streptophyta; Magnoliopsida; Malpighiales; Euphorbiaceae.
GGUCAACUGGCUAGUCUACACAGUGCAGAAGUUUCCAAGAAUAUUGAAGCAGAAAAGCAGCUCAAGUUUUUUCAAGGCUGUGUUGCUGCUGCAUUUUCUGAGCGGGACCAUGCUGUAAUGGAGGCUGAAAAGGCUAAGGAAAAGGAGGAGCUUAUUUCAAGAGGAUUUCAUGAACUUCAGCAGAGGAUUGAAGAGCUGCACUGUGAAUUACUUGAAGAGAAAAUAUUGACGGCUACUUUGCAGAGUGAGAUGGACGGGGAAGAGAGGUUGGAUGAGGCUUUCAAGGAGGUUGUUCACAAGUUCUAUGAGAUCAGACAGCAGUCACUGGAGGAUAUUGAAGAAGAUGUGUCCUGGGAAGACAAAUGUGGGUGCCUCCUGCAUGAUUUGUCUGAAAUGUGGACUUUCAGCAAUCCUGAGGAAACAUCCACCUUGAAGUACAUUACAGAGUGCUCUGGAAGAACAAGUGGAGACACUACGAAAAUCUUUGGAUAAUCUUCAGAACAAGCUACAAGUAGGUCUUGAAAUAGAAAAUCACUUGAAGAAAAAAGUGCGCGCACUGGAAAAACAGAAAAUUCUUUCAGAAGAGAAGCUGCGGGCUCAAAUAUCGGCAUUUCGCCUCUAUCAUUCUCAGCAUAAAAUUGAUAUCACGAG